GGAAUCUUGAAGUUCAGUUAUCUUGGGUGAUUCUUUGUCUGGCAAUGUCUGUCUAUGACAAAAGCGACAUCUGGUAUGUUGAAUUUCUCACUGUGCUAUCUAAAGUAUGUUAUAAAGUACAAAUACUUCAUCAAACGAUGAUUAAUUAAAAUUGAUGUAGUUAACUUCAUUGUCACGCUUCGCUUGUGAAUGUAUUACUAAGCGAUUUUCGCUUCAUAGUAUUUAUUGGUGCCGUGGGUUGCAAAUGUAAAGGUCCAUACACACCGGACGCGAUUCGACAACGCGACGCGAUUUUUCGAUUUUCACUGACCGAUAACUUUGAUCCUAGUUAAAAUUUUCCAAAUAUUUGAAAGCGCUAUAACAUUUUGAGUUAUUUGGUCUACAUAUCUUUCAAAAUUUCC
Non-coding RNA from Paramuricea clavata, 401 nucleotides. The record is from the annotation of a GenBank genome assembly. Lineage: Eukaryota; Metazoa; Cnidaria; Anthozoa; Malacalcyonacea; Plexauridae.